This is a long non-coding RNA of Aphis gossypii (cotton aphid), 772 nucleotides long. RefSeq lists it as uncharacterized. The record is from RefSeq and is a predicted model, not a curated record. NCBI's taxonomy places the organism in Eukaryota, Metazoa, Arthropoda, Insecta, Hemiptera, Aphididae. The transcript has 3 exons.
CUAAGAUUUACCAAAUCUUGUUUGUAAAAGUCCGAACUACAAAAAUCAUUUGAGGUUUGACCAAACUAUUUUGUGUAUCCUAGGUUUUACCGGUAUUCGUACUUUUACUGUAAAAUAUACACACAUACAUUUAAUAUUUAUUAUUAUUGAGUUUAUAUUAAAAUAUUUAUAUAUAAUAAAAUUUGUCGGUUAUAAUUUAUAAUAAACUAUGAAAAACAGGAAAAACAGAUAUCGAGAUCCUUGUUUUUUGUGCAAAUGUUGAUCGGAGAGAAUAUUAUAAUAAUAUGUGCCAUAUCUACUGUAGUUGAAAUGUGUUAGAACUUCUAGAGAUUGAAGUGAACCAAACUAAUUUCUGGCAAUAUUUGUAUUGUAGUGGAAGACACUUGAUUACUGACAUUUUGUUGAUUUCCUACAGUAGAAUAUAUUCACAACGAUAAACAGAGACCUUAUUUGAAAUUGGAAAUUAAUGUUUGGAUUAUUAAACUAUUCGGAGUUCAAAUCAAACAAUAUGUUGUUAAUUAUUUUACGUAUACUACUAUACAGUACAGCAACAAACUACCCAUAAUAUUUUAGUUGUAUGGAUUAAACGAUAUAAAAUAUGGAUCUAAACGGAUAUUAAAUACUCAAAGUUCGUAAAAAGUAAGUAAAUAUUUUGUUUUAAAAAUAUUAUAAUAUGCAAUAUAGAUUAACGGAGUGUCCGAGUAGACAAGACAUCGGUUACCAUUAUCUAACUGGUUCAGACACAAUCUAUAGAUUAUUAUGAUAUAUUAUA